UGAAAAUCAAGAAAACAGAAAAUAAACAAUAAAAAUAUUCUAUAAAUCAUGUGUGCAGCAAGCUUAGUUCCAUUGUCAACAUAAAUAGCUAGUUUGGGAAAAAUUUGGUGACCAUUAGGUAAAGUAAUCUGUCCAUUAAACACGAAGGAUUAGAUUUUCUAAAAAUAUAUUGAGCUUCUCAAGAAAAUUCUGUAGAGAAAAAUUUAUGUUUCAAAACAGUGUUGGAUCUGAAGCAAAUUGGAAUUUACGCGAGUGUAAAAUUUCUUUUAAAUGUAUGUAAGCGUAUAUUUACAUUGUAAAUCUACCAAAAAUAAAUAUAAAUAAACAAAAAAUUA
Molecule: long non-coding RNA, 335 nt
Organism: Lucilia sericata (common green bottle fly)
Lineage: Eukaryota; Metazoa; Arthropoda; Insecta; Diptera; Calliphoridae
Exons: 3
Source: RefSeq, a predicted model, not a curated record